UCGGGUGCUGACGAGCGGCGGACGGGUGAGUAAUGCUUGGGAACUUGCCUUUCGGAGGGGGAUAACCAUUGGAAACGAUGGCUAAUACCGCAUAACGUCUACGGACCAAAGUGGGGGAUCUUCGGACCUCACACCGAGAGAUAGGCCCAAGUGAGAUUAGCUAGUUGGUGGGGUAAAGGCUCACCAAGGCAACGACGGGUAGCUGGUCUGAGAGGAUGGUCAGCCACACUGGGACUGAGACACGGCCCAGACUCC
This 255-nucleotide ribosomal RNA is filed under the name uncultured bacterium. Its description in RNAcentral is "partial 16S ribosomal RNA". It matches the Rfam family "Bacterial small subunit ribosomal RNA", at positions 80 to 339 of the family's 1533-position model. The record is from RNAcentral.